AAACUAAAGAGUUUGAUCCUGGCUCAGAUUGAACGCUGGCGGCAUGCCUUACACAUGCAAGUCGAACGGUAGAGUAGCAAUACUCGAGAGUGGCGAACGGGUGAGUAAUAUAUCGGAACGUGCCCAGUCGUGGGGGAUAACGUAGAG
Molecule: ribosomal RNA, 147 nt
Filed under: Polaromonas sp.
Lineage: Bacteria; Pseudomonadati; Pseudomonadota; Betaproteobacteria; Burkholderiales; Comamonadaceae
Description: partial 16S ribosomal RNA
Rfam family: Bacterial small subunit ribosomal RNA
Source: RNAcentral